AGUGAACGCUGGCGGUAGGCCUAACACAUGCAAGUCGAACGGCAGCACCGUAAGAGCUUGCUCUUACGGGUGGCGAGUGGCGGACGGGUGCGGAAUACAUCGGAAUCUACUUUUUCGUGGGGGCUAACGUAGGGAAACUUACGCUAAUACCGCAUACGACCUACGGGUGAAAGCAGGGGAUCUUCGGACCUUGCGCGAUUGAAUGAGCCGAUGUCGGAUUAGCUAGUUGGCGGGGUAAAGGCCCAACAAGGCGACGAUCCGUAGCUGGUCUGAGAGGAUGAUCCAGCACACGGGAACUGAGAAACGGUCCAGACUCCUACGGGAGGCAGCAGUGGGGAAUAUUGGACAAGGGGCGCAAGCCUGAUCCAGCCAUACCGCGUGAGUGAAGAAGGCCUUCGGGUUGGAGAGCCCUUUUGUUGGGAAAGAAAAGCAGCAGUUUAAUACCCCGCUGUUCUGACGGUACCCAAAGAAUAAGCACCGGCUAACUUCGUG
RNAcentral lists this ribosomal RNA (492 nucleotides) under uncultured bacterium. RNAcentral's name for it is "partial 16S ribosomal RNA". It matches the Rfam family "Bacterial small subunit ribosomal RNA", at positions 29 to 507 of the family's 1533-position model. The record is from RNAcentral.